This 405-nucleotide ribosomal RNA is filed under the name uncultured bacterium. Its description in RNAcentral is "partial 16S ribosomal RNA". It matches the Rfam family "Bacterial small subunit ribosomal RNA", at positions 33 to 526 of the family's 1533-position model. The record is from RNAcentral.
GACGACGCUGGCGGCGUGCCUAAUACAUGCAAGUCGAACGAGUGGCUGACGGGUGAGUAACAUGUGGGUAUCUACCCAUCUGAGUGGGCUAACACUUGGAUACAGGUGCUAAUACCGCAUACUGAUGGCGGGACUCGCGGUGCAUUAGCCAGUUGGUGGGGUAACGGCUCACCAAGGCCACGAUGCUUAGCCGGCCUGAGAGGAUGAUCAGCCACACUGGGACUGAGACACGGCCCAGACUCCUACGGGAGGCAGCAGUGGGGAAUAUUGCACAAUGGGCGCAAGCCUGAUGCAGCCAUGCCGCGUGUAUGAAGAAGGCCCUAGGGUUGUAAAGUACUUUCAGUCGGGAGGCGUUACCGACAGAAGAAGCACCGGCUAACUCCGUGCCAGCCGCCGCGGUAAUAC